GCCAGGCGUGGUGGCGCAUGCCUGUAAUCCCAGCUACUCAGGAGGCUGAGGCAGGAGGAUUGCUUGAGCCCAGGAAUUUGAGAACAGCCUGGGCAACAUACCAAGACCCUAUCUCAC
Molecule: unclassified non-coding RNA, 117 nt
Organism: Macaca fascicularis (crab-eating macaque)
Lineage: Eukaryota; Metazoa; Chordata; Mammalia; Primates; Cercopithecidae
Rfam family: Metazoan signal recognition particle RNA
About the family: The signal recognition particle (SRP) is a universally conserved ribonucleoprotein. It is involved in the co-translational targeting of proteins to membranes. The eukaryotic SRP consists of a 300-nucleotide 7S RNA and six proteins: SRPs 72, 68, 54, 19, 14, and 9.
Source: Ensembl